CUGUAGAUCAAAAUGAUUGCUAAAUUAAUCCCCAUAUUCUAAGUCUUGCCUCUCUGAGGAUUUCAUCAUAGGAUGACAGAAUAUUUGUUUUAACAAGAGAAAAGUGAGAAAUAACUUAAAAUGGGGGAGAAAAGCUCCCUAAUUUGGAAAAAGAAUGUCAGGUAUAAGUUGGUAAUGACCAGCAGUCAGCUGUACAGCUUGACAGACACUUAUCUGAGCCAAUCCUCAGUCCUUCCAUUGGCCCUUGUGACUGUAUCCUAACCCAUUUUCCUCCAUAGCAUUUCUUUUCCCCACGAUCCUCCCAUAGAAUUCACCUAUAGAUUGCAAAUCUCUCUCGCCAUGCUAAGAUUAUCUUUCUUACUACCAAUUCUUUCUAGGCUUCGUCAUUUCAUUCCUAACGUCUUCUGAUUCGACUUUGAGACAACCCAGGACUCUGGAAUCUUUGCUGCAACUUCUCCAAUGGACAGAUGUUCCUUUCCAUCCUCUUAACAAGAUUCCGUAUCGUGGGGGCUCCUUCAGAUUUCUCCUGAAGAUGUCUCCUUGAGCAGUUCGUCAGAUUCUGGGCUGCAGGAAAAUCUGGUCCAUGUUUUUGGCUCCUAAUAAACGUCUUGAGGUUUCCACCCAAACAUAUCGGAAUAAGUGGGUGAAGGCAAGCAAAGCAUAUGAUGAUGCCCCUGUGGUUUUCAGAUGGCUCAGCAGAUGUAUUUGGUUCAAGAUUGGAGGGGGCGUGGCAGACAUACAGUUUGGCCAGUGAGGUGAGUGGCUGUUGCAGACUGCAUGAUGGGUCCAAACACUUCUCAGACUCUUCCAUGAGGUGCUGGAUUCUUGAAUAGGGAAGCAAGGAAUCAGGAUCUCAGAGGCUAAGCUCUGCGCCUUACUUACAGGGAUCUUAACCUGUUGUCCUGACUUUUCUCAAAAAGGAGCAUUUACUAAACAAGAAUGGCAUUUCCUCGGGCAGGCUAUGAAACAAAGUGAGGCAAAAGGAUACAGAAUGUUACCGCCUUUGGGAUCCCAUGCAAUCUAGUGAAGAUAUUGCACAAACUAUGGAGAGUUGAGCUGUUCCUCAGCUGCAGACCCCACCUUUCACUGCUUGUACUCACUCUUCUUGCCCCUUUGAAUGAGAUGGCCAAAGAGAAACACCCCUUCCUUAAUGCUGCAGAUGCCAAGAACCAGCCCCAUGGCCUGGGGCAAACCUCCUGCCCAAACCCCUUGUUUCUGGGUCCUGUCCUCACUGCUGUCAAAUGAUAGCUGAACCCCAGCAUGGAGGUAAGCUGUCUGCCUAUCCUCCCAAGGAACAGCUUUUGCAUCCAUGCUCUUCCACCUCAGCUGCCUCUUGACCGUAUUCAACAUGACUUUCCAAAUCAAUAAAAUGUCUCUUUUAUUUUGAAUCUAAGUUUCA
Molecule: long non-coding RNA, 1399 nt
Filed under: Monodelphis domestica (gray short-tailed opossum)
Lineage: Eukaryota; Metazoa; Chordata; Mammalia; Didelphimorphia; Didelphidae
Description: lncRNA (ENSMODG00000034382.2)
Source: RNAcentral